This 450-nucleotide ribosomal RNA is filed under the name uncultured bacterium. RNAcentral's name for it is "partial 16S ribosomal RNA". It matches the Rfam family "Bacterial small subunit ribosomal RNA", at positions 338 to 795 of the family's 1533-position model. The record is from RNAcentral.
CCUACGGGCGGCUGCAGUGAGGAAUAUUGGGCAAUGCCCGCAAGGGUGACCCAGCAACGCCGCGUGGAGGAUGAAGGCCGUAAGGUUGUAAACUCCUGUUAGAUGAGAAGAAUAGUACCGAUUGGAUCGGUAUUUGACUGUACCCUCAGAGAAAGCCCCGGCUAACUACGUGCCAGCAGCCGCGGUCAUACGUAGGGGGCAGGAUUUGUCCGGAUUUACUGGGUGUAAAGGGCGAGCAGGCGUGAUAGCCGAAAUCCUACAGCUUAACUGUAGAACUGCCUUUGAUACUGUUAUUCUUGAGUUCGGGAGAGAGAGACGGAAUUCCAGGUGUAGUGGUGAAAUACGUAGAUAUCUGGAAGAACACCAGUUGCGAAGGCGGUCUCUUGGUCCGAUACUGACGCUGAGGCGCGAAAGCGUGGGGAGCAAACAGGAUUAGAUACCCCAGUAGUC